UUACAAUUAAAGGAUAUUUCUUGCGAAUGAAUGAGAGACGGAAAUGUCCCUUAAUUGUUUGGC
This is a microRNA precursor of Oncorhynchus kisutch (coho salmon), 63 nucleotides long. NCBI's taxonomy places the organism in Eukaryota, Metazoa, Chordata, Actinopteri, Salmoniformes, Salmonidae. The record is from Ensembl.